RNAcentral lists this non-coding RNA (30 nucleotides) under Mus musculus (house mouse). The record is from RNAcentral. Lineage: Eukaryota; Metazoa; Chordata; Mammalia; Rodentia; Muridae.
UAAGGAAGUGUGUUCAGGUCCCAUGGCUGU